UGAAACCUCACUGUCGCGCUUUCGCUUUUUCUCUCUCCGACUGUGGAAGCUUCUAGAGAGAGAAACUCAGACCUUCUCUGUAGAGUCCUCCGAGUCCUCAGACUUUCAAUUUUUUUGAACGAUGACGGGUUUAAGAAUUUCUAGGGUUUUCUGACGAACCGAUUUGUCCCAAAUCUCGAUGGAAAUGCCCGGUAGGAGAUCCAACUACAAGCUUCUGAGCCAAGUCCCCGACGACCAGACGGCGGCGUUUUACGAGACGGAGAGCAAGAACAAGGGGAAAUGCGACAGCGGGCUCGAUUGGGUAACCGGAGCCGAUUACCGGGCGAAUCAGCAAGCGAUUCGUGCCGGGAACCCGUACUCGUCGGCCUGGUUGCAGAGGCAGUCGAGUGGGUUCGGGUACGUGCCGGACGAUGUGUUCAAGGUUAGUGGUGUAGGGGGUGAAUUUCGAAUGAAGGGUGUGCAUGGAGCUGUUGCGGUCACCAGCGGUGGCGGCGGCUCGUCUUCUUGGAAGAGCUGGGCUCAGCAGACUGAGGAGAGUUAUCAGCUGCAGCUGGCUUUGGCUCUUCGGCUCUCAUCGGAGGCCACAUGCGCCGAUGAUCCUAACUUCUUGGAUCCAGUGCUCGAUGAAUCAAUGUCUAGGACAUGGGGCUCCGUUGACGCCAUUUCGCAUCGGUUUUGGGUGAAUGGCUGCCUGUCGUACUUUGACAAAGUGCCUGAUGGAUUUUACCUAAUUCAUGGAAUAGAUCAGUAUGUAUGGACUGUGUGCACUGAUCUGAAAGAAAAUGGUCGUAUACCAUCAAUUGAUUCAUUAAGGUCUGUUGAUCCUGGCAUUGGUUCAAGUAUUGAAGUGGUUUUAAUUGAUCGACGUAGUGAUCCCAGUCUAAAGGAGCUCCAAAAUAGGGUUUUAACCAUUUCUCGUACCUGCAUAACUAUGAAAGAGAUUGUAGAUCAGAUGGCAAAGCUUGUAUGCAGUCGCAUGGGGGGUUCAGCUUCUGUAGGAGAGGAUGAAAUAUUGUCCAUAUGGAGGGAGAGCAGUGAUGAUCUGAAAGAUUGCGGAUCUGUAGUUGUUCCAAUAGGCAGCCUUUCUGUUGGCCUAUGUAGACAUCGUGCUUUAUUAUUCAAAGUUCUGGCUGAUACAAUUGGUUUACCUUGUCGAAUUGCCAAAGGCUGUAAAUGUUGUACAAGGGAUAAUGCCUCCUCUUGUCUUGUUCGGUUUGAGAGGGACAGGGAGUAUUUAGUCGAUUUGAUUGCAAAUCCAGGUUACUUGUGCGAGCCUGAUUCCUUGCUCAAUGGCCCAUCAUCCAUCUCAAUUUCUUCACCGCUGCACUUUCCAAGACUAAAACCAGUUGAACCUACUAUUGAUUUCAGGUUACUGGCUAAUCAGUAUUUCUCGGACUGUCAAUCGCUUAAUCUUGUUUUUGAUGAAGCUUCUGCAGGAAGUGCUGUUGAUGAGGACAAUAUGUAUCCUAAACAAUUUGAUAGGAAGAGUACAGAGGGAAAAAACCUUUUUUCAAGUUUCAGUGGCUACACCUCUGCACACGCAGAAAUUCCUGAGACAAGUGGUGAUGAUAGAAAUCCCCAAUUGUUUAAUCGUUCUCAGAAUAUUGUGCACACACCACCCAUGGUAAAUGUUCCAAUCCCUCUAACGCAUAUGCCGCCUGUAGGGCAUAGAGAUGGCCCAAAGGUGGAUACAAUUACAGACUCAAGGUUUGUUGAGGGUGUUCGACUGGUUCCUAGUAAACCAAGUAAAGAGCUCGCACUCAAUGUAGGGAAUUUGGACAUCCCAUGGAGUGAUCUCGUAAUAAAAGAGAAAAUUGGUGCAGGUUCUUUUGGAACUGUUCAACGUGCUGAUUGGCAUGGCUCUGAUGUUGCUGUAAAGAUUCUUAUGGAGCAAGAUUUACAUGAAGAACACUUUAAAGAAUUUUUGAGUGAGGUUACUAUAAUGAAGGACCUGCGGCAUCCAAACAUUGUUCUCUUUAUGGGUGCAGUUACCAAGCCGCCAAACUUGUCCAUAGUCACGGAAUAUUUAUCAAGAGGUAGCUUGUUUACGCUUUUGCAGAAACCUGGUGCAAGGGAGGCAUUGGAUGAGAACAGCCGCUUGAAAAUGGCUCAUGAUGUGGCAAAGGGAAUGAAUUAUCUUCAUAGACACAAACCUCCCAUCGUUCAUCAUGAUUUAAAAUCUCCAAAUCUGUUGGUAGACAAACAUUAUACAGUGAAGGCUCACAGGAGUUUAAUUUUCAGUGGCUCGUGCUGGACUAUAAGUUAUGUAUUUGAAAAUGAACAUGACUAAGUGCGCCAACAUUUGUUUACUUACUGCAUCGUUUACACCAUUUUUCUUGCCUGUUUUGUGGUUUAGGUUUGCGAUUUUGGUCUUUCCCGUUCAAAGGCAAGCACCUUCCUUUCCCCAAAAUCAGCUGCUGGGACUGCUGAAUGGAUGGCACCAGAAGUCAUGCGUAAUGAACCGUCAAAUGAGAAGUCAGAUGUUUACAGUUUUGGUGUAAUAUUGUGGGAACUCGCAACAUUGCAACGGCCGUGGGGUAAUUUAAAUCCACUGCAGGUUGUCUCAGCUGUUGUGGUUUAUAACAAAAGGCUGGACAUUCCGCAUGAUGUGAAUCCACGUGUGGCGGCUAUAAUUGAGGCUUGCUGGGCCAACGAACCCUGGAAACGACCUUCAUUUGCUAGUAUCAUGGAAUCUUUGACGCCAUUGAUAAAAGAUCCUGUGACUCAACCUAGUCAUGCAAAUAUGCCAUUACUCACCUGAACGGGAACGAGUCUUAUUCAUGCACAUAAUACACCAUUCUUUAGAGAACCGAUGUGUGGCGGGCAUAUGUGCUGUUCAUAUUCUCGGGUAUGGCCAUUGCCUCAAUAUGUAUUCUUGGUUUUAGUUUGCUUGGUCAGUUUCCGGUCCAAUGAACUCGUAUGCAUAAUUUCCGAUGCUUGUUUGUACAUUUCUGUUCUUAUCGCCGAUUCAGCAUUUGGAUUCUUUAACCAAAUGAAGGAAACUAUGAGUGCCAACAGUGUCUGCAUUGCCGCCUCUUCUCGCCGUCAUGGGGAAGUUGUAUAAUUUCUGUUUCAUAAUUUUGUACAUAAAAGAGCGUUACUAGAAUCGAUUACAUCUUUCCUAGCAUGCUUUGUUUGGCACUUUAAUGACGUUGUACAAAAACGUGAAAGCUAGUCACUCAAUUAGCAGCAGGUUUUCGGUUGUUGCUACCCUAGUGAAAUUGAAGAAAACGAAAUUAGAAAGAGCUAAAUGCACAAAUCUUUUAGCGAUCUAAUUCGUCUUCGACAAUUUUCCA
This is an RNA transcript of Malus domestica (apple), 3296 nucleotides long. It is a transcript of the gene named serine/threonine-protein kinase CTR1-like, with no coding region annotated. The record is from RefSeq and is a predicted model, not a curated record. NCBI's taxonomy places the organism in Eukaryota, Viridiplantae, Streptophyta, Magnoliopsida, Rosales, Rosaceae.